This 342-nucleotide small RNA is filed under the name Histoplasma ohiense. Its description in RNAcentral is "hypothetical lncRNA". Lineage: Eukaryota; Fungi; Ascomycota; Eurotiomycetes; Onygenales; Ajellomycetaceae. The record is from RNAcentral.
GUUCGAGUGAAAUAAGGUUGACAGAGACAUUCUCAGUGCUUCACGGUGCUGAAAGGCCCAUGUUGCUGCUGGCAGAACCUCUAUCAAGGGGAAAUCUGUUGCUGUGCUGGCUUCUGCUGCCUCCUCUGCUUCUCUUGCUCCUGUGGUUGCAUUGAACCCAGCCUUCUCCUCUGAAGUUCUUGUGGUUCUGCAGCGUAUUGAGGACGCUCAGAAGGAAAUGAACAAAAAAAUGGAAAAAAUGGUUAUGUGGAUGGGGGAGAUGGCCCAAAAUAUUGAAUGCUUGGAGACGACAUUUUAUACAUUGGUAGAAAGGAUCAGGAAAAUUGAAAGGGAAUUUGGUAU